GUUCAAGUGGUGCAUGUGGUUAGCAUGUGACACUUGUAAUGCUGAGGUUGUGAGUUCAAGCCUCAUUUAGAACA
RNAcentral lists this transfer RNA (74 nucleotides) under Alosa alosa (allis shad). RNAcentral describes it as "tRNA-Thr". It matches the Rfam family "tRNA". Rfam says of the family: Transfer RNA (tRNA) molecules are approximately 80 nucleotides in length. Their secondary structure includes four short double-helical elements and three loops (D, anti-codon, and T loops). The record is from RNAcentral. Lineage: Eukaryota; Metazoa; Chordata; Actinopteri; Clupeiformes; Clupeidae.